This 253-nucleotide ribosomal RNA is filed under the name uncultured bacterium. RNAcentral's name for it is "partial 16S ribosomal RNA". It matches the Rfam family "Bacterial small subunit ribosomal RNA", at positions 524 to 776 of the family's 1533-position model. The record is from RNAcentral.
UACGUAGGGGGCAAGCGUUGUCCGGAAUCAUUGGGCGUAAAGCGCGUGUAGGCGGCUAGAUAAGUCGGGCGUGAAAUCCCACGGCUCAACCGUGGAAGUGCACUCGAAACUGCAUAGCUAGAGUCCUGGAGAGGAAGGUGGAAUGCUUGGUGUAGAGGUGAAAUUCGUAGAUAUCAAGCGGAACACCGGUGGCGAAGGCGGCCUUCUGGACAGUGACUGACGCUGAGGCGCGAAAGCCAGGGGAGCAAACGGG